UAGGAGCACGGAGGCCUCCGUGCUCCUAAACCGUUUUCGAUGAUGGAAUUUCUGAAUCGACAAUCAGCUUCAUUAGACUUGAUCUAGUGUAUUUGAAGUUUCUAGAAAAUAAUUUUCGUGAUUUAUCUAGCGAAAGGAUUGAAGAUCAAUAAUUUUUAAUGGUUGAUGUCUGUCGUUUUCAAGUUUAACGGUGUAGAAGCAUUUAAAUCAGAUGAAAUUUGAUACAAAAUUUUUUAUACUAUCCACAACAUGAUCAAUAUUUCUGAUCGAAAAUAUUAGUGCUAUAUUAUCACUUUUUAUAGGAUUUUUAUUUUUAGCCGUUGAUGUUAAAUUCUUUCGAUUGCUAGGUAUAUGAUAUCGAAAAAUCGCAAAAAUUAUUUUCUAGAAACUUCAAAUACGUUAGAUCAAGUCUAACGGAGCCGACGUCGAUUCGAAAAUUCCAUCAUCGAAAACGGC
This 456-nucleotide long non-coding RNA is filed under the name Ananas comosus (pineapple). RNAcentral describes it as "long non-coding RNA (ACOM_LNC014705)". The record is from RNAcentral. Lineage: Eukaryota; Viridiplantae; Streptophyta; Magnoliopsida; Poales; Bromeliaceae.